This 440-nucleotide ribosomal RNA is filed under the name uncultured bacterium. RNAcentral's name for it is "partial 16S ribosomal RNA". It matches the Rfam family "Bacterial small subunit ribosomal RNA", at positions 338 to 795 of the family's 1533-position model. The record is from RNAcentral.
CCUACGGGUGGCAGCAGUGGGGAAUAUUGCACAAUGGGGGAAACCCUGAUGCAGCGACGCCGCGUGAGCGAUGAAGUAUUUCGGUAUGUAAAGCUCUAUCAGCAGGGAAGAAAAUGACGGUACCUGACUAAGAAGCCCCGGCUAACUACGUGCCAGCAGCCGCGGUAAUACGUAGGGGGCAAGCGUUAUCCGGAUUUACUGGGUGUAAAGGGAGCGUAGACGGUCCUGCAAGCCAGAUGUGAAAGCCCGGGGCUCAACCCCGGGACUGCAUUUGGAACUGUAUGGCUAGAGUGGAGGAGGGGCAGGCGGAAUUCCUGGUGUAGCGGGGAAAUGCGGAGAUAGAAGGAGGAACAGCAGUGGCGAAGGCGGCCUGCUGGACGGCAACUGACGUUGAGGCCCGAAAGCGUGGGGAGCAAACAGGAUUAGAUACCCGUGUAGUC